This 426-nucleotide ribosomal RNA is filed under the name uncultured bacterium. RNAcentral's name for it is "bacterial SSU rRNA". It matches the Rfam family "Bacterial small subunit ribosomal RNA", at positions 356 to 774 of the family's 1533-position model. The record is from RNAcentral.
GGGGAAUUUUGGACAAUGGGCGCAAGCCUGAUCCAGCAAUGCCGCGUGCAGGAUGAAGGCCUUCGGGUUGUAAACUGCUUUUGUACGGAACGAAAAAGCUCUCUCUAAUACAGGGGGUGAAUGACGGUACCGUAAGAAUAAGCACCGGCUAACUACGUGCCAGCAGCCGCGGUAAUACGUAGGGUGCAAGCGUUAAUCGGAAUUACUGGGCGUAGAGCGUGCGCAGGCGGUUUUGUAAGACAGAGGUGAAAUCCCCGGGCUUAACCGGGGAACUGCGUUUGUGACUGCAAGGCUGGAGUACGGCAGAGGGUGGUGGAAUUCCACGUGUAGCAGUGAAAUGCGUAGAGAUGUGGAGGAACACCGAUGGCGAAGGCAGCCCCCUGGGCCUGUACUGACGCUCAUGCACGAAAGCGUGGGGAGCAAACA